UAUGUACAUUACUACAACGUUAAUGCACUAGAUCCCAUAAGAAUUUUGCAGUUAAGCAUGCUUGGGAUAGAGUAUUAUUGGAAUGAGUGACCUCUCAAGAAGUCCUAGUGUUUUACAUGC
Molecule: non-coding RNA, 120 nt
Organism: Picea glauca (white spruce)
Lineage: Eukaryota; Viridiplantae; Streptophyta; Pinopsida; Pinales; Pinaceae
Source: Rfam